Molecule: long non-coding RNA, 1326 nt
Organism: Lotus japonicus
Lineage: Eukaryota; Viridiplantae; Streptophyta; Magnoliopsida; Fabales; Fabaceae
Exons: 3
Source: RefSeq, a predicted model, not a curated record
UUGAACAUUUCCACUACAAGAAAAUUGGCAUUUAGCGACGGACAUUCUGCGGCGGUUACGCAUAAACCGCCGCAAAAUGUAAACUUGAGGCGUUUUUUCAGGCGGUUAAGCAAGCCGCCGCAGUUUUCAUACAAUUUGCGGCGGGUUUUGUUUCAAUUAGUGGCGGUUUGCUUGACAUUUGUGGCGGUUAUUUCAGGGGCAGUUCAACCAGGCGCCGCAGAAUGAUUAAAUUAGAAAACCUAAACCCCUCCUAUCGCGUUUCACUCUCCUCUACCUCACUUCGCGUUUCACUCUCAGCCUCUCUCUCAUAUCGCGAUUUUCACCUUCACCUCAAGCGAUUUUCAGAAGCACGAAAACCCACCACACCUUCACCUCACUUCACGUUGAACCCACCACACCUUCCCCUCUCAGAUCACGAUUCUUCACCUUCACGUUGAACCCACCACUUCACUCCCCUCUCAGCGAUGGCGAUUUUCAGAAGCAAAGUUCCAGAUUGAAGCUCAAUCACUGAUUGAAGGAAUUAGGGAUUUUAGGUUUCAGAUUCACAUUCUCAUCAAAACUGGUGUUCGUGCUCUCGGUUAUCACUCAGAUUUUCAUCUUGUAGCUUUGAUUGAAGUGAAUGUGGUUUCGUAACAUAGCCUAUGAUGAAACAUAGUAGCUUCUAGCGUUGAUAGUUCCUCCUCCCAUCUCUAGUUAUUUGUGUCCACUGGGUAGCUACAGCCAAUUUCAUUGAUGUUGUAGAUUCACGGGCAAGCUGGAGGUAUUUGGAUCUAGGGGAAUGAUGUUGUUUGGAAUGCUGUUAGAGUUGCCUCUUAGUUUUUACAUUUUUCUGUGGAAAGGGGUCAGUAAUGUAGUUUCUUGGCAUCUAACUGCUGUGUAUGUGAGUCCUGACUUUAUUACUAGAAGAGAAUUGUGGGCUCAGUUGGGGCUGUUGCAUAGUGAGAUACAUUGUUUAUUGGGAGACUUCAAUGCUACAUUACAUAAUUAUGAGAGAACUGGUAGUAAUGUAAUAUCAACACUGCUCCUAGGGAUUCUCAGAUAUUCCAAAGAGCGAGAUGUAAACAGUAAACUUAUUAGCUUUGCACUUGUAGACUAAUAACUCAGGGCAGAUUGGACAGGGCUCUAUGCAAUUUUCCCCUUGUGUUCUCCUUUUUCAUCACACAAGUUUCUCAUACAUAACAUUAGAGAGUGGUCAAGAUUCUGGAAUGUAGUACUAGUAUCUUUAUGAAAUGAAAAGAAAAGGGGUCAACAUUAUUUAUUUAUUAUUAUGCUAGCAGUUAUUUGGUAUUAUUCUGGAAUGUAGUACCAGUUUAUUUUUUGUGUUUA